UGUAUUCACUACUGUAAGUCGCUCUGGAUAAGAGCGUCUACUAAAUUACUAAAA
Molecule: non-coding RNA, 54 nt
Organism: Salmo salar (Atlantic salmon)
Lineage: Eukaryota; Metazoa; Chordata; Actinopteri; Salmoniformes; Salmonidae
Source: Rfam